RNAcentral lists this transfer RNA (73 nucleotides) under Daphnia pulex (common water flea). RNAcentral describes it as "tRNA-Thr". It matches the Rfam family "tRNA". Rfam says of the family: Transfer RNA (tRNA) molecules are approximately 80 nucleotides in length. Their secondary structure includes four short double-helical elements and three loops (D, anti-codon, and T loops). The record is from RNAcentral. Lineage: Eukaryota; Metazoa; Arthropoda; Branchiopoda; Diplostraca; Daphniidae.
GGUCCUAUGGCUUAGAUGGCAAAUCGCCUGCCUAGUAAGCAGGAGAUCACGAGUUCGAGUCUCGUUGGGACCU